This 161-nucleotide ribosomal RNA is filed under the name uncultured bacterium. RNAcentral's name for it is "partial 16S ribosomal RNA". The record is from RNAcentral.
CACGUAGUUAGCCGUGGCUUUCUGGUUAGGUACCGUCAAGGUGCCAGCUUAUUCAACUAGCACUUGUUCUUCCCCAACAACAGAGUUUUACGACCCGAAAGCCUUCAUCACUCACGCGGCGUUGCUCCGUCAGACUUUCGUCCAUUGCGGAAGAUUCCCUA